This 69-nucleotide transfer RNA is filed under the name Agenioideus sp. SJW-2017. RNAcentral's name for it is "tRNA-Gly". Lineage: Eukaryota; Metazoa; Arthropoda; Insecta; Hymenoptera; Pompilidae. The record is from RNAcentral.
GCUUAUGUAGUAUAUACACAUAUUAUAUUUAAUUUCCAAUUAAAAGAUUUAUUUAACAUAAUAUAAGCU